AUCGCUUCUCGGCCUUUUGGCUAAGAUCAAGUAUAGUAUCUGUUCUUAUCAGUUUAAUAUCUGAUACGUCCUCCAUCCGAGGACAAUAUAUUAAACGGAUUUUUGGAAUUAGGAGACAGAAUAGAAGCUUGCUCCGUCCACUGCACUUGUCGACCUGCUAUUGCAGUACUUCCAGGAACCGUGCACCCACU
Small nuclear RNA from Ursus maritimus (polar bear), 191 nucleotides. Its record names the gene U2. It matches the Rfam family "U2 spliceosomal RNA". Rfam says of the family: U2 is a small nuclear RNA (snRNA) component of the spliceosome (involved in pre-mRNA splicing). Complementary binding between U2 snRNA (in an area lying towards the 5' end but 3' to hairpin I) and the branchpoint sequence (BPS) of the intron results the bulging out of an unpaired adenosine, on the BPS, which initiates a nucleophilic attack at the intronic 5' splice site, thus starting the first of two transesterification reactions that mediate splicing. The record is from Ensembl. Lineage: Eukaryota; Metazoa; Chordata; Mammalia; Carnivora; Ursidae.